CCAGGUUAGAGAGGGUCUGAGCACAACUAGAUAGGUUAGAGAGGGUCUGAGCACUGCUAGCCAGGUUAGAGAGUGUUUGAGCACCGCUAGCCAGGUUAGAGAGGGUAUGAGCAAUAGCCAGGUUGGAGAGGGCCUGAGCACCACUAGAUAGGUUAGAGAGGGCCUGGGCACCACUAGAUAGGUUAGAGAGGGUCUGAGCACCGCUAGAUAGGUUAGAGAGGGUCUGAGCACCAUUAGAUAGGUUAGAGAGUGUGUGAGCACCGCUAACCAGGUUAGAGAGGGUCUGAGGAGCACUAGCCAGGUUAGAGAGGGCCUGAGCACCGCUAGAUAGGUUAGAGAGGGCCUGGGCACCACUAGAUAGGUUAGAGAGGGUCUGAGCACCGCUAGAUAGGUUAGAGAGGGUCUGAGCACCAUUAGAUAGGUUAGAGAGGGUCUGAGCACCACUAGAUAGGUUAGAGAGGGCCUGGGCACCACUAGAUAGGUUAGAGAG
RNAcentral lists this long non-coding RNA (490 nucleotides) under Salmo salar (Atlantic salmon). Its description in RNAcentral is "lncRNA (ENSSSAG00000111721.1, ENSSSAG00020079528.1)". The record is from RNAcentral. Lineage: Eukaryota; Metazoa; Chordata; Actinopteri; Salmoniformes; Salmonidae.